ACAGUACAAGCUGAGCAGGCGAUGAUACGUUAGUGUCGUGGGGCCGGGCCGCCAGAUCAGGUGGCAGCAGAUUGAAUUUCACACAUCUGUGGGACAGU
Molecule: non-coding RNA, 98 nt
Filed under: human gut metagenome
Description: NiCo riboswitch
Rfam family: NiCo (Nickel/Cobalt) riboswitch aptamer
Source: RNAcentral